This 468-nucleotide ribosomal RNA is filed under the name uncultured bacterium. Its description in RNAcentral is "partial 16S ribosomal RNA". It matches the Rfam family "Bacterial small subunit ribosomal RNA", at positions 28 to 507 of the family's 1533-position model. The record is from RNAcentral.
GACGAACGCUGGCGGCGUGCUUAACACAUGCAAGUCGAACGGAAAGGCCCUGCUUUUGUGGGGUGCUCGAGUGGCGAACGGGUGAGUAACACGUGAGUAACCUGCCCUUGACUUUGGGAUAACUUCAGGAAACUGGGGCUAAUACCGGAUAGGAGCUCCUGCUGCAUGGUGGGGGUUGGAAAGUUUCGGCGGUUGGGGAUGGACUCGCGGCUUAUCAGCUUGUUGGUGGGGUAGUGGCUUACCAAGGCUUUGACGGGUAGCCGGCCUGAGAGGGUGACCGGCCACAUUGGGACUGAGAUACGGCCCAGACUCCUACGGGAGGCAGCAGUGGGGAAUAUUGCACAAUGGGCGGAAGCCUGAUGCAGCAACGCCGCGUGCGGGAUGACGGCCUUCGGGUUGUAAACCGCUUUCGCCUGUGACUAAGCGUGAGUGGCGGUAAUGGGUAAAGAAGCACCGGCUAACUACGUG